This 813-nucleotide long non-coding RNA is filed under the name Nicotiana benthamiana. RNAcentral describes it as "long non-coding RNA (NBEN_LNC026847)". Lineage: Eukaryota; Viridiplantae; Streptophyta; Magnoliopsida; Solanales; Solanaceae. The record is from RNAcentral.
ACAGAGUUCUCUCGUUUUCUCUAACUUUCUCUUACUGUAUCUCUCACCAUUUUUGCCUUAAAUCUGUAUGUUUUCAUGGUAUCAGAGCGAGAUGAUCCUCGGAUUCUUCUCCGUUUCUUGUUAUCGAUCGUGUUGGAAGUUUUAUUGAAGGUUUUUUUUUUGGAUAUUUGAGAGAGAUUCUGUUUACCGAGAGAACGAUGUGUAUUGAACAGAUAAUCGGAACUUUUACUGCUAUUUGAUGCUUCGAUCUUCACUCAGUGGAUGUUUUGGGUGAUUUUCCGACAUCCCUGACCCUUUUCCGGUGACUUUCCAGUUUCUAGGGUUUCCGGUGGUCCGACCUAGGGUUUUACUGCAAUCCGAUGGCUCGAUCCUCACUCGGCGAAUGUUUUGGGUAAUUUUCGACGUCCCUGACCCUAUUUCGGUAAGUUUCCAGUCCAUACGGUUUCCGGUGGUUGGACCUAGGGUUUUAUCUGGCGAUUGAAGGCCGUUCUUCUCCGCUCGCGAAGAAGGAGGGUAACACUAUCCCUGUUCUAAGUGUUGUAUAUUUUGUAUGUGGGUUCUGAUUCAACUUUAGCCUGUUUACUGAGACUGUUUUUGAUUUCAAACUAGUUAUUGUUCAUGACUUCUAAUAUGAAUGUUAAUACCUCCUCAGUGGACUCUACCAGCCCCCUUUUUGUUUACUCCUCUGAUGUUCAUGGAGUUUCUCUUGUUCCACUCCGUUCUACAAGAAAUAGUUAUGGGGGUUGGAGGAGGAAAAUGAUUGUCGCGCUGUCUGCUAAAAAUAAAAUUGGCUUAGUUGAUGGCACAUGUCCC